Long non-coding RNA from Oncorhynchus tshawytscha (Chinook salmon), 1408 nucleotides. Lineage: Eukaryota; Metazoa; Chordata; Actinopteri; Salmoniformes; Salmonidae. The record is from Ensembl.
CCCAUAGGGACUAGGGGACCAUUAACCAGGACCCAUAGGAACUAGGGGACCGUCAACCAGGACCCAUAGGAACUAGGGGACCAUUAACCAGGACCCAUAGGAACUAGGGGACCAUUAACCAGGACCCAUAGGAACUAGGGGACCAUUAACCAGGACCCAUAGGGACUAGGGGACCAUUAACCAGGACCCAUAGGAACUAGGGGACCAUUAACCAGGACCCAUAGGAACUAGGGGACCAUUAACCAGGACCCACAGGAACUAGGGGACCAUUAACCAGGACCCACAGGAACUAGUGGACCAUUAACCAGGACCCAUAGGGACUAGGGGACCAUUAACCAGGACCCAUAGGAACCAUUAACCAGGACCCAUAGGGACCAUUAACCAGGACCAAUAGGAACUAGGGGACCAUUAACCAGGACCCAUAGGAACUAGGGGACCAUUAACCAGGACCCAUAGGAACUAGGGGACCAUUAACCAGGACCCAUAGGAACUAGGGGACCAUUAACCAGGACCCAUAGGAACUAGGGGACCAUUAACCAGGACCAAUAGGAACUAGGGGACCAUUAACCAGGACCCACAGGAACUAGGGGACCAUUAACCAGGACCCACAGGAACUAGGGGACCAUUAACCAGGACCCAUAGGGACCAUUAACCAGGACCCAUAGGAACUAGGGGACCAUUAACCAGGACCCAUAGGAACUAGGAGACCAUUAACCAGGACCCAUAGGGACUAGGGGACCGUCAACCAGGACCCAUAGGAACCAUUAACCAGGACCCAUAGGAACUAGGAGACCAUUAACCAGGACCCAUAGGAACCAUUAACCAGGACCCAUAGGAACUAGGGGACCAUUAACCAGGACCCAUAGGGACUAGGGGACCAUUAACCAGGACCCAUAGGGACUAGGGGACCAUUAACCAGGACCCAUAGGGACCAUUAACCAGGACCCAUAGGAACUAGGAGACCAUUAACCAGGACCCAUAGGAACUAGGAGACCAUUAACCAGGACCCAUAGGAACCAUUAACCAGGACCCAUAGGAACUAGGAGACCAUUAACCAGGACCCAUAGGAACCAUUAACCAGGACCCAUAGGAACUAGGGAGACCAUUAACCAGGACCCAUAGGAACCAUUAACCAGGACCCAUAGGAACCAUUAACCAGGACCUUGUUACUCCUUAUCUCCACGUUGUCUCCGUUUGUUACGGGCUUUGAGCUGGUUCGUGACAACCAGGACCCAUAGGGACUAGGGGACCAUCAACCAGGACACAUAGGGACCAUUCUGGGAUGCAGAUGUUGCCACUUAAAUGUGUUAGAGAGCCUGAAGAAGUUUGAUCAACAAGUCAAACUAUUCCACAGAAUAAACACAAUGGUGUGUGUGUGUGUGUGUGUGUGUGUAUUCAUGCGUUUUAA